GGCCCAUAAACAGAAAUUAAAUUGAAUUUAAAAUCAUCUUCUUGGUGUCUUAGCUUAAAACGAAUAAAGAAAUCUCCUUCCUCAAUUUCCCCAAUAUCAAACGUUGACAGAAGAACCCCUAGAACCAUGCCACCGGAUCUACCACGUGGAGCCGUACAAUGCCAAAUAAAAUCUCUGCCCGCACAAAUAGUGUUCAGAGUGUUCUGUGGAAAGUUAGCUCUACCAGUUUCCGAUAAGGCAAUAAAAUCUAAGUUUUUCUCCUUAGUGAGGUCUGAUAAAAAUCUAUAUUUCUUAUUAUCUGCAAACCCGUUACAAUUCCAAAAGAUGCCUUUCAUUUUGAACCACUUUUAGUUUUAUUUUUAUUUUUAUUUCUACUAUUUUUCUUAUGACGAGGGUGUGUCGAACUUUUAAGAGAUAUAGGGGUCUGUAGAAUCAACGGAUCACAGCCCCAUGCUCCUAAACCCUCUAAAAUCUCUGAACAAAUAAGGUUAAGAGCUUCUAAAUCGACACUGUCAUCCAAAGAACAAGUACUGGAAGCAUCCUCAACUAGAACAACAUUGUCUAAAAGUUUAUUAGUACCAGACUUUAAUCUAUUAAAUUCAACAUCUCGUAACUUCUUCAAAGCAUUAAAAACAUUUGUCUCAUUAUUUCCCAACACUACACCUAAAGAGCCUACUGUAGAGCUUAAAGAAAUAUCAUUG
RNAcentral lists this long non-coding RNA (701 nucleotides) under Sorghum bicolor (sorghum). Its description in RNAcentral is "long non-coding RNA (SBIC_LNC003422)". The record is from RNAcentral. Lineage: Eukaryota; Viridiplantae; Streptophyta; Magnoliopsida; Poales; Poaceae.